Molecule: long non-coding RNA, 3577 nt
Filed under: Glycine max (soybean)
Lineage: Eukaryota; Viridiplantae; Streptophyta; Magnoliopsida; Fabales; Fabaceae
Description: long non-coding RNA (GMAX_LNC001624)
Source: RNAcentral
ACAAUACCAGUUAAUAAUCCAGUCGGUUAAAAAUAUUCCCAGUAACUAGGUCAAUGUUUUACACCAACAAUAUCUAUGCUAUACUUAAAAAUAAAACAAGUCUGCAGUUUGAUAACUCCCAAUUAAUUAAUCCUAUUAUGGAGCAUUUCAUAAUCAUUAUUCAGAAAACAAAGAGCGAGAACAUCUGCGGCUUCAAAUUCUUCGCUUUGACAAUCUGAUACCAUUAUGUAGUAACAUAUCUUUCAUUAUCUCUCCUCUCCUGGUUCUGCCUUCUCCAAGUUUGCAUUCAUAAACAUCACAUUCAUGAUCUUCUACAUAAUUUUUUCCUUGAGUCUUUGGAAUGAAAUCAUUUACGAUAUGUGCAGAAAUUAGCUGUAAUAAGGUUAAAAUCUUUGUGAAAAUAACGACUUGGACCAAUAGUUAUGGUUAUAAUGAGGUACCCACCGAACAGGAAAAUCUUGGGCCUUAUAAAUUGAUAGAAUUUCUCUUUGGGAGUUACUAUUCUCACUAAAUUUUUUAUAUUCUCACCCCAUACUUUUUCAUAAACCCAUGAAAAGACCUCACUGCCCUGGUUAUAUAUUCUCACCUACUUCGAUCUAUUGCCUUUUUCCUCCAUUUUUUCUGUGUUUUCAUGUCUUUGGUUGAAUAUUCAAGGUAUUUUUCUUUGAAUUUUGUAUAUUCAACAAAAAUAUAAUUCCAUUGUGUAGAAAUAUACAAUGAAAUCAUGUUUUCAUUAUGUUUUUGAUGGAGAUGCACACUAGAAACAUGAUUCCUUUGUGUAUCUCAAUGUGAUGAAGAUUUUCAAAAAAGCAGAAAUAUGUUUUCUAUUGUAUAUUUUAUACAAUAAAAUUGUAUUUUCGUCAAAAGAAAAGAGUAUUUUAGUUUAGAAAUAACUUUUUAAGCACGUGGAAGUGGACAUAGCAAGUUUUCUCCCAUGAAGCGGCCCAACUACAUUCUUUUGUGAACAUAAAUAUACAUACAUGAUUAUCUCCAAAAUAAAAUAAAAUUACAUACACUAUUCACGUAAAAACUCAAUGUAGCCUAGAUUUCAAAUUAUAUUAAUAUAAAAAGAAAAAAAAUGAAAGUAUAUAUAGUUAAUAACUUAAUAUAACAUCGUUGUAUGAAAAAUACUGAUAACUUAUUAUUUGAUAUUUUUCCUUUAAUAUUUUUUUAUUAUAAAAAUUAUAUUAAUCUUACUGAAUAACCUGAACUCAAUUUUAUGCUAAAUAGUUGGUCGUUGAAUAUUUUUCUCAUUUUUUUUUUAAAUUAAGCACACUAGAUUUCAAUCAAAAAAUAAAUAAAUCACACAAGAUCGUGUUUUUCGAUCCACAAUCAAUCUAGUAAUGAGUUCGCUAAUUUCCAAAAAAAUCUGGCUCAUCUUAGAACCAUUGAGAACCAGUGCAAAAAAUCAGUUUGGAUCAUCUUUAAAAAUAUCACUUUAUUUAUUUAAAAAUUUAGUUUAAAAUAUUUUUGAGAUAAAUAAAAGCAUGUUUAUUUUAGAUUACACAAUGACAUACACUAUUUUAGAAAGAAUCUUGAUAAGCAGUGUCCUAAGCACAAAGGUUAAGGAAUUGAAAGAUGAAGAUUUUAUUGGAAAUUAUAUGAAAAUCCAUUUAAAAAACGUUGUGCACAUCUCAAUAAAUUUUUUUUCUUCUAAACUAAUGAACUAGUGUUUUGAUUUGAGGAUACUGGUUAUUAUAUGCUUUUAAUUUUAAAAUUAUUAUUAACUUUUAUCUCAUAAAAACAUAUAAUUUUUGUAACGAGAACCAAAGUUGGCACUUGUGUGGCAACACUGUCUGAGAAGUUAAUUGUAUUCGAACUAAUUUUUUUUUUGUCUGCAAUAAUGUUAUUCCCUGUUGCCUCAUUUGAGGCCAGGAAGGAUCAGAAGGUACUUUCGUCUAAGAAAAUGGCAUGGACGUUGCUUAACAAUGACAAUUUCAAGGAACCUGAAUUAAUUAAUUAUUCAAAUCUGAAUGUGACUGUGCCAGAACGAAUUAAAGGGUUCAUAAUACCAGCACCCCUUUUAGAUUAUGUAGUUACUAGUAGUCUAGUACUAUAUGUGUGUGUGUCACAUUGCCACGAAUUCUAAUAAUCUCGUUUUAAGCAGAAUUAAAAGAGAUACGUACUACUAGUUAAUUUCCUUGAUUAAAUAAUCCAAUCAAAGAUUUCUAACAACCCAGUGACUGAUCCAAAAUGGCAGCUAGCUAGCUAACUCUAAUUAACUAACGAAUUCAUUAUUAUUGUCCCUAUAUAUGCAUGGUGACUAUCCCUUUCUUGUCAGUGUUUGCAACAAUGAAUAACUGUAGUGUAUAGUUCUUGUACUCAUUGAUUGGCGAUUCGGGAUUGGGAGGCAAAUCCCUAAUUUCUUGACUUCUUAAAAACGUACAACAGUUUAGUUGACAUUCAAAUACUAUCGGUACUAAUAAUAUUAUUUACUCUCUUCCUAAUUAUAAGAUUUUUUUUUUCAAAAUUUUAUUUGUCCUUUUUUAUAAGGUUUUUUUUUAUAAUUUUUAGAUAUAUUAAUUAUUUUUUCAUAUAUUCUUACUUAAUUAUUUUUUAAAUAUUAAUAAAAAAUAAGUAAGUGAAUAGAGAAAGAAUAAAAAGAUAAUUUUAAAAUGAUGGUAUAAAUAAGAUUAAAUUACUCAUUUAGUCUUUAUAGUUUGAUGAUUUUUAUUUUUUUAGUCUCUAUAAUUUGAAAAUCGUCUUUUUAGUUUCUAAAGUUUACAUUUUAAUUCUAUGUUAGUUCCUGUAGUUUUGAAAGUGGUCUUUUUAAUUUGUAUAGUUUCAUGAUUUUUACUAAUUUUUAAAUUAUAGGGACUAAAAGAUAAUUAAAAUAUAAAUAUAUGGACUAAAAAAAAAUACUUUUAAACUAUAGGGACUAAAAGAGAAUUAAAAUAUAAAUAUAUUAUAGAGACUAAAAAGACAAUUUAAUUACAAACUAUAAGAACUAAAAAAAUAAGAAUCAUAAAAUUAUAGAGACCAAAUAAGUAAUUUAACCUAUAAAUAAUUAAUAAUUUUAAUAUGAUAACUAUCUUUCUUAAAAGACCUAACUAAAUAAAUUAAAAAAGUCUUAUAAUUAAAAACUUUAAACAAAGAGUAGUUACCAGUGCAUGGUUUACACUUUACAUCGUAGAGAAAGAAAUACCUUAAAGGUUAACUAACAAACAUUCUAUUAUGGCAGAGAUAAAAGUUAGGAGUGCACUUUGCACUUUGUUUGAGUGUAGACAACAGAAAAUUACUGACCAAGAGGCGCCAUUUCUGUGGCCCAAGUGGCAUCCAAUUAUUUACAGGGAGAAGGAUUAAAAGGGUUACGUUACCUUGAGUCAUGUUGGGCGAUUCAUGAUUCAUGAAUGAAUGAAAUGAAGGAGUUGUCCUAAAUUGAUCGAGGCAUUUAAUUCCAUGAAAGGCAUUUCCACGGUUGAGAUUGAGAUUGAGAUGAGCUUCAUGUGAACUGUACGUGGAACGUGUCUGGUGGAGGGUCCAUCCCCCAUCAUUGCGUAAACAAAAUAGACUUCAAGCCAUGAUAAUAGGGGCUAGGGUUACACUUCCUUAUAAAUUUCAAAUGAAUUGUAUAAAU